This 223-nucleotide ribosomal RNA is filed under the name uncultured bacterium. Its description in RNAcentral is "partial 16S ribosomal RNA". It matches the Rfam family "Bacterial small subunit ribosomal RNA", at positions 29 to 248 of the family's 1533-position model. The record is from RNAcentral.
AACGAACGCUGGCGGCGUGCCUAACACAUGCAAGUCGAGCGCGAAAGAGCAAUCUGAGUAGAGCGGCGCACGGGUGCGUAACACGUGGGUAAUCUGCCUCGAGGUCUGGGAUAACCUCCCGAAAGGUUGCUAAUACCAGUUAAGCUCACGGUGACUUCGGUCGCUGAGAGAAAAGGGGCCCAAAGGGUCUCGCCACGAGAUGAGCCCGCGGCCCAUCAGCUAG